UUAAGUUAUUAAGGGCGCACGGUGGAUGCCUUGGCACUAGAAGCCGAUGAAGGACGUUACUAACGACGAUAUGCUUUGGGGAGCUGUAAGUAAGCUUUGAUCCAGAGAUUUCCGAAUGGGGAAACCCAGCAUGAGUUAUGUCAUGUUAUCGAUAUGUGAAUACAUAGCAUAUCAGAAGGCACACCCGGAGAACUGAAACAUCUUAGUACCCGGAGGAAGAGAAAGAAAAUUCGAUUCCCUUAGUAGCGGCGAGCGAAACGGGAAGAGCCCAAACCAACAAGCUUGCUUGUUGGGGUUGUAGGACACUCUAUACGGAGUUACAAAGGACGACAUUAGACGAAUCAUCUGGAAAGAUGAAUCAAAGAAGGUAAUAAUCCUGUAGUCGAAAAUGUUGUCUCUCUUGAGUGGAUCCUGAGUACGACGGAGCACGUGAAAUUCCGUCGGAAUUUGGGAGGACCAUCUCCUAAGGCUAAAUACUCUCUAGUGACCGAUAGCGAACCAGUACCGUGAGGGAAAGGUGAAAAGCACCCCGGAAGGGGAGUGAAAUAGAACCUGAAACCGUGUGCUUACAAGUAGUCAGAGCCCGUUAAUGGGUGAUGGCGUGCCUUUUGUAGAAUGAACCGGCGAGUUACGAUUUGAUGCAAGGUUAAGCAGUAAAUGUGGAGCCGUAGCGAAAGCGAGUCUGAAUAGGGCGUUUAGUAUUUGGUCGUAGACCCGAAACCAGGUGAUCUACCCUUGGUCAGGUUGAAGUUCAGGUAACACUGAAUGGAGGACCGAACCGACUUACGUUGAAAAGUGAGCGGAUGAACUGAGGGUAGCGGAGAAAUUCCAAUCGAACCUGGAGAUAGCUGGUUCUCUCCGAAAUAGCUUUAGGGCUAGCCUCAAGUGAUGAUUAUUGGAGGUAGAGCACUGUUUGGACGAGGGGCCCCUCUCGGGUUACCGAAUUCAGACAAACUCCGAAUGCCAAUUAAUUUAACUUGGGAGUCAGAACAUGGGUGAUAAGGUCCGUGUUCGAAAGGGAAACAGCCCAGACCACCAGCUAAGGUCCCAAAAUAUAUGUUAAGUGGAAAAGGAUGUGGCGUUGCCCAGACAACUAGGAUGUUGGCUUAGAAGCAGCCAUCAUUUAAAGAGUGCGUAAUAGCUCACUAGUCGAGUGACACUGCGCCGAAAAUGUACCGGGGCUAAACAUAUUACCGAAGCUGUGGAUUGUCCUUUGGACAAUGGUAGGAGAGCGUUCUAAGGGCGUUGAAGCAUGAUCGUAAGGACAUGUGGAGCGCUUAGAAGUGAGAAUGCCGGUGUAAGUAGCGAAAGACGGGUGAGAAUCCCGUCCACCGAUUGACUAAGGUUUCCAGAGGAAGGCUCGUCCGCUCUGGGUUAGUCGGGUCCUAAGCUGAGGCCGACAGGCGUAGGCGAUGGAUAACAGGUUGAUAUUCCUGUACCACCUAUAAUCGUUUUAAUCGAUGGGGGGACGCAGUAGGAUAGGCGAAGCGUGCGAUUGGAUUGCACGUCUAAGCAGUAAGGCUGAGUAUUAGGCAAAUCCGGUACUCAUUAAGGCUGAGCUGUGAUGGGGAGAAGACAUUGUGUCUUCGAGUCGUUGAUUUCACACUGCCGAGAAAAGCCUCUAGAUAGAAAAUAGGUGCCCGUACCGCAAACCGACACAGGUAGUCAAGAUGAGAAUUCUAAGGUGAGCGAGCGAACUCUCGUUAAGGAACUCGGCAAAAUGACCCCGUAACUUCGGGAGAAGGGGUGCUCUUUAGGGUUAACGCCCAGAAGAGCCGCAGUGAAUAGGCCCAAGCGACUGUUUAUCAAAAACACAGGUCUCUGCUAAACCGUAAGGUGAUGUAUAGGGGCUGACGCCUGCCCGGUGCUGGAAGGUUAAGAGGAGUGGUUAGCUUCUGCGAAGCUACGAAUCGAAGCCCCAGUAAACGGCGGCCGUAACUAUAACGGUCCUAAGGUAGCGAAAUUCCUUGUCGGGUAAGUUCCGACCCGCACGAAAGGCGUAACGAUUUGGGCACUGUCUCAACGAGAGACUCGGUGAAAUCAUAGUACCUGUGAAGAUGCAGGUUACCCGCGACAGGACGGAAAGACCCCGUGGAGCUUUACUGUAGCCUGAUAUUGAAAUUCGGCACAGCUUGUACAGGAUAGGUAGGAGCCUUUGAAACGUGAGCGCUAGCUUACGUGGAGGCGCUGGUGGGAUACUACCCUAGCUGUGUUGGCUUUCUAACCCGCACCACUUAUCGUGGUGGGAGACAGUGUCAGGCGGGCAGUUUGACUGGGGCGGUCGCCUCCUAAAAGGUAACGGAGGCGCUCAAAGGUUCCCUCAGAAUGGUUGGAAAUCAUUCAUAGAGUGUAAAGGCAUAAGGGAGCUUGACUGCGAGACCUACAAGUCGAGCAGGGUCGAAAGACGGACUUAGUGAUCCGGUGGUUCCGCAUGGAAGGGCCAUCGCUCAACGGAUAAAAGCUACCCCGGGGAUAACAGGCUUAUCUCCCCCAAGAGUUCACAUCGACGGGGAGGUUUGGCACCUCGAUGUCGGCUCAUCGCAUCCUGGGGCUGUAGUCGGUCCCAAGGGUUGGGCUGUUCGCCCAUUAAAGCGGUACGCGAGCUGGGUUCAGAACGUCGUGAGACAGUUCGGUCCCUAUCCGUCGUGGGCGUAGGAAAUUUGAGAGGAGCUGUCCUUAGUACGAGAGGACCGGGAUGGACAUACCUCUGGUGUACCAGUUGUCGUGCCAACGGCAUAGCUGGGUAGCUAUGUGUGGACGGGAUAAGUGCUGAAAGCAUCUAAGCAUGAAGCCCCCCUCAAGAUGAGAUUUCCCAACUUCGGUUAUAAGAUCCCUCAAAGAUGAUGAGGUUAAUAGGUUCGAGGUGGAAGCAUGGUGACAUGUGGAGCUGACGAAUACUAAUCGAUCGAAGACUUAAUCAA
This 2921-nucleotide ribosomal RNA is filed under the name Staphylococcus aureus. Its description in RNAcentral is "bacterial LSU rRNA". It matches the Rfam family "Bacterial large subunit ribosomal RNA". Lineage: Bacteria; Bacillati; Bacillota; Bacilli; Caryophanales; Staphylococcaceae. The record is from RNAcentral.